Gorilla gorilla gorilla (western lowland gorilla) is the source of this 1218-nucleotide long non-coding RNA. RefSeq lists it as uncharacterized. The transcript is spliced from 2 exons. The record is from RefSeq and is a predicted model, not a curated record. NCBI's taxonomy places the organism in Eukaryota, Metazoa, Chordata, Mammalia, Primates, Hominidae.
ACGCCUGUAAUCCCAGCACUUUGGGAGGCCGAGGCGGGGGGAUCACGAGGUCAGGAGAUCAAGACCAAGGUGAAACCCCGUCUGUAUAAAAAUACAAAAAAAUUAGCUGGGCGUGGUGGUGGGCGCCUGUAGUCCUAGCUACUCGGGAGGCUGAGGCAAGAGAAUGGUGUGAACCCAGGAGGCGGAGCUUACAAUGAGCCGAGAUUGCGCCACUGCACUCCAGCCUGGGCGACAGAGCGAGACUCCAUCUCAAAAAAAAAAAAAAAAAAAAAAAAAAGUUUUCUGUUCCUGUGCCAUUUGUUCUCCUAAAUUCUUCUUCUGCUGAGAUUUUCUGUGGAGCACAGAAUAGCCCAGUUACGGCCUGCAUCUUCCAACCUUCCUUGCAACUGAGGAGUGUCUGACUAAAUGCUCACCUUUGAUGAUGAGCAAAUAAUGGUGCCAUUUCUCCAUUACUUGCUAUGGAGAAAUGGCGAUUCCUAGGGUUCCUGUAAAAAAGUGUCACAAACUGGGGGAUUAACAACAGAAAUGUACUCCCUCACAGUUCUGGAGGCUGUAAGUCCAAGAUCAAGUUGUCAGUAGGGUUGGUUCCUUCUGAUGAUUGUGAGGGGAAGUCUGUUCCACCCUGUGUCCUAGCUUCAGGUGGUGCGCUGGCAAUCUGUGGCAUUCCUUGGUGUCUCUGCCUUCAUGUUCACAUGGAGUUCUCCCUCAGGUGUGUCCAAAUCCCCCCACCCCUCUUUUUUCUUUUUUUAAUUUGAGAUGGGGUCUCACUCUGUCACCCAGGCUGGAGUGCAGUAGUACCAUCAUGGUUCACUGCAGCCUCAACCUCCCAGGCUAAAGGGAUUCUCCCACCUCAGCCUCCCAAGUAGCUGGGACCUACAGGCAUGUGCCACCACACCCAGCUAAUUUUUUUUUUUAAUUUUUAUUGUUAGUAAAGAUGGGAUCUUGUUCUGUUGCCCAGGCUGGUCUCCAACUUCUGGCUGCAAGUGAUCCUCCCUCCUUGGCCUGGCAAAGUGCUGGGAUUACAGGGCCGCACACAUACAGAGCUGAACUUGUAUCACCGUGUAGAUGAAGACAAACACCUUUAGGAGAUGGCAGAGAAACAAAAUGGGAAACCCUCAGGUCUCCAAAUGACUACAACAAGCAGAAUUGCCCCAUCAGCCUGCACCAUUCAUUUCUAGACUAUGAGCAAGAAGUACACUUCCAUCUUAUUUAAACAAC